Molecule: ribosomal RNA, 344 nt
Filed under: Clostridioides difficile
Lineage: Bacteria; Bacillati; Bacillota; Clostridia; Peptostreptococcales; Peptostreptococcaceae
Description: partial 23S ribosomal RNA
Rfam family: Bacterial large subunit ribosomal RNA
Source: RNAcentral
UCGCCCAUUAAAGUGGUACGCGAGCUGGGUUCAGAACGUCGUGAGACAGUUCGGUCCCUAUCCGUCGCAGGCGUAGGAAAUUUGAGAAGACCUGUCCUUAGUACGAGAGGACCGGGAUGGACGUACCGCUGGUGUACCAGUUGUUCUGCCAAGGGCAUGGCUGGGUAGCUAUGUACGGAAUGGAUAAGCGCUGAAAGCAUCUAAGCGCGAAGCCAACUUCAAGAUAAGAUUUCCCACCGCAAGGGUAAGACCCCAGAAAGACUAUCUGGUUGAUAGGUCGAAGGUGUAAGUGCAGCAAUGUAUUUAGCUUAUCGAUACUAAUAGGUCGAGGACUUGACCAAAUU